UACGUAGGGUGCGAGCGUUGUCCGGAAUUAUUGGGCGUAAAGAGCUCGUAGGCGGUGUGUCGCGUCGGCCGUGAAAACCUGGGGCUUAACUCUGGGCGUGCGGUCGAUACGGGCAUCACUGGAGUUCGGCAGGGGAGACUGGAAUUCCUGGUGUAGCGGUGAAAUGCGCAGAUAUCAGGAGGAACACCGGUGGCGAAGGCGGUUCUCUGGGCAUGUCCUGACGCUGAGGAGCGAAAGUGUGGGGAGCGAACAGG
RNAcentral lists this ribosomal RNA (254 nucleotides) under uncultured bacterium. RNAcentral's name for it is "partial 16S ribosomal RNA". It matches the Rfam family "Bacterial small subunit ribosomal RNA", at positions 524 to 776 of the family's 1533-position model. The record is from RNAcentral.